RNAcentral lists this ribosomal RNA (452 nucleotides) under uncultured bacterium. RNAcentral's name for it is "bacterial SSU rRNA". It matches the Rfam family "Bacterial small subunit ribosomal RNA", at positions 29 to 524 of the family's 1533-position model. The record is from RNAcentral.
AGCGAACGCUGGCGGCAGGCUUAACACAUGCAAGUCGAGCGGGCGUAGCAAUACGUCAGCGGCAGACGGGUGAGUAACGCGUGGGAACAUACCUUUUGGUUCGGAACAACACAGGGAAACUUGUGCUAAUACCGGAUAAGCCCUUACGGGGAAAGAUUUAUCACCGAAAGAUUGGCCCGCGUCUGAUUAGCUAGUUGGUGAGGUAAUGGCUCACCAAGGCGACGAUCAGUAGCUGGUCUGAGAGGAUGAUCAGCCACAUUGGGACUGAGACACGGCCCAAACUCCUACGGGAGGCAGCAGUGGGGAAUAUUGGACAAUGGGCGCAAGCCUGAUCCAGCCAUGCCGCGUGAGUGAUGAAGGCCCUAGGGUUGUAACGCUCUUUUGUGCGGGAAGAUAAUGACGGUACCGCAAGAAUAAGCCCCGGCUAACUUCGUGCCAGCAGCCGCGGUAAU